UUACUUAUGGUGCGGUAAUUAA
This 22-nucleotide non-coding RNA is filed under the name Arabidopsis thaliana (thale cress). The record is from RNAcentral. Lineage: Eukaryota; Viridiplantae; Streptophyta; Magnoliopsida; Brassicales; Brassicaceae.